Long non-coding RNA from Wyeomyia smithii (pitcher-plant mosquito), 3306 nucleotides. RefSeq lists it as uncharacterized. The record is from RefSeq and is a predicted model, not a curated record. NCBI's taxonomy places the organism in Eukaryota, Metazoa, Arthropoda, Insecta, Diptera, Culicidae. The transcript has 3 exons.
AAAGGGAUAAGGACGAAGAAGUGCAUACCAAACGUUUAAAAACAGCAAAUGUGAUUUCUACUGACUCCGAGCGAUGCUCACUUAAUGCCAAAGCAUCCUUGAAUUGGCUUACCCUUAAUGACGGUCCUUGGAAUUCAGUACUGGACAAAUGGGAAGAUAGUUUUGUUUCACGGAAACAAACACUCUGUGUACCAACAACUGAGUCAAAGCUUAGAAAAUUUGGUGUUUGGCAUCACCUUCAAAAUGACUAUGGGUACCAGUUGAUAGACUUGGUCUUUCGCCAAAAAUUGCCACACAGUGGCAAUGCUAUUGAUCGAUGAAAUACACUGGUAAACGAGAUAUUAGAUUAUCUGCAACACCGUGUUAAUGAUGAGGCUUCAAUGAUAAUUCUGCAGGAUGUCAAAAACGCGAAUACUGGGGAAGAUUCAAGAUUGUGUGCUUUAUUAUUACUUCUGAACUGCGCGCUUUCUCCAGUUAGAGUAAAGGCCGGAUACAAACCAACUAUAACCACUGCACAGACGGACACAAUUCUAUUUGUUGAGGAUGACAGUGGAAUAACGCGAAAAAUCGCAGAGCGUAGCCAAAAACAUAACGAUCUCAAUUUACCAACAUCACCGGUGCUGAUUGCUGUCGGUAGUAACUACAAAACGUUGGGAGGAAAAUUUAUGCCAUCACUUCGUCGCGCAAUCGACGUUCUAAUUAAGUUUGCGGUGAUCACGGGAAUACGACACUCGAAGAUAUCCAAACUAGUUUGGUUGUUCAUCACAAAAUAUGUGUAUAAAGUAUACACACCAGAAAAGUAUGCAUCUGUUGAAAAAUUAAGCAUACAUCUUAGCCUGAUAGAAAAUGUCGACUCGCACCAAAAGUAAUCUUGAAUGCUUCAUCAAGGACUGCACGCUUAAUUUUGCUUCACCGCAAAUAUAUCUAAACCAUUUGAAAGAUUUACAUGGAGUUCCAAAUAACCAUCAAUGUACCUGUACAUACCCUGGAUGUGGACAAAUUUUCCAGAAGUUUUACUCAUUCAAGCGACACAUAAUUAACCACUGUAACGUACAUUCUGAAACAUUUACAGCGUGUAUUGAACCAUCGAGACCAAAGCUGUUACAAGACGAGCAACUGUUCGAUGCACCCACCAGUAGCAGUGCUUUUAAUCAGACUGGGUACGAAAAUGAGCUUUCGGAAAUAACCAGUGCUGCUCUCAUGAAUAUUUUGAAUCUUCAUAAAAGACCAAAUUUCUCACGUACUGAUGUUAUUGAAAUACAGCAAAGCACCCAGCGAUUAUACGGAGUGAUAGCUAAGAAAUUGGAAAAACUGAAUCUCCGGUCUGAUGAUCCAGAUGAUAGUUUUAAGUUUAAUUUUUACACAAAGACAUUGAAGAAUCUAUUCCGUGAAAUUGAUUCGGAACAUAAACUAAUCAAAUAUUUAGAAGAGGUUAAUCUAUUCCAAAAGCCUAUUAUAGAAAAAAUUGAUUUAAGUAGUUCAGAAAUAGACACUGAUGAACAAAAAAGUACAUUAGCACUCAUGCCAAUUAGUUUUCAGAUAAAAAAAAAUUUUGAGACCGGAGAUGUUUUAGGUAAGACACUUUAGCGAAUUGAAGAAUUGGAAAAAUCUUCUGAAUUGUCAUGCUUUAUAAAUGGAAGCGUUUGGAAGGCAAUCAAAGACAAAUACGAUGAUGAUCUCGUUAUACCCGUUAUGCUCUAUGCAGACGAAUUCGAAAUAAACGACAAUCUGUCAUCACACAACAAACGACACUCUAUCUGCGCCGUUUACUAUAGCUUCCCAGUAUUACCCAGAGAGUUUAGCUCUAGACUAUGCAACAUUUUCAUUGCAGGUUUAUUAAAAAAGUGGAUAUAGAUCAAGUAGGAGUCAAUAACUUGUUUGAAAAAUUGUUAUUAGUAUUCAAAAAUUUGGAAACCAAUGGAAUGCAAUUAAAAGUCGGUGAAAACUGUAGAAAAGUUAGGUUUUGUCUAGCAUUGGUGGUAGGAGAUAAUUUGGGACUACAUACGUUAUUUCUGAUGUCAGGAAGCUUCAGUGCAAAUUACUACUGUCGAUUUUGUAAGCGCCAUAAGCAAGAUUUACAAAAAGAUGAAAGCCAAGUUGAAAGUGCGAUGCGUGAUAAAACUAAUUAUUUGCUCGAUGUUCAAAAAAAAUAAUCCCACAGUAACAGGAAUACGUGGAUUUUCAAUAUUCAACAAUCUCCCAUCGUUUAGUAUUGUCAACAACCUUAGUGUAGAUGCUAUGCAUGACUUUUAUAGCAGUGGAGUUGCGAAAUAUGGAAUAACAGAAAUAUUAAACUAUGGCAUAUAUAAAAUGCAAUUCUUAACACUACACGAUGUAAAUACUAGAAGGAGAAUGAUCAGUGCAACUGAAGAAGAUGAGAACCUUGCUAGAAUGCCUGAUAUAGAAGAGAAAUUCGAUUCUGUGAAAAAACACAAAACAGUUAACAUUAGAACUACUGCCAGUGAGAUGAGGUCAUUAGCUCAUUUCUUGACAUUCAUAUUAGGCCCAUAUUUUCCAGUCGCUGAUCCUGUUUGGAAUUACUGCAAAACUUUAGUAGAUUUAAUGAACUUCAGUUUACUUCCAUCGUUCGGUGGAACUGAUAUAAACCAUCUUAAAGAUCUGAUAGCACAACAUCAUAGGCUCUAUAAAGAUUUGUUUGGAGAACCUUAAAACCUAAACAUCAUUUCUUGGUUCAUUAUCCAACAGUAAUUGAAAAGUGUGGUCCUAUAAAUGAAAUGAUGUGUUUUCGAUUUGAAGCAAAACAUUAUGAAAUGAAACGAUACGCUAAUGUUAUUUUUUCUAGAAAAAAUAUCUGUCUAAGUUUAAGUACCAAGGCUGCGUUGCAGUUUUCUUUUCAUGCGCAUGCAAAGGACUUUUUUAUGUCUAAUAUUAAAGGUAAUUUUGUUCUUGUGCCGUUAUCAUCAAGAUCUUAUUUUGCAAACCUUGUUCAUCCGCUUCCUUUUGAAGUACACUGCACAGUGUUUAUUGCCCAUUCAUGUAUAGUUAACAGUAUUAAUUAUAAACAAGGUCUUUUUUUAACAAUAACUAAGAACUGUGUAACAGAGUUGCUUCAAAUCUAUGAGAUACUUAAACUCGGAGAGAUAUUAUAUAUUGCCUGUCAAAUAUGGGAAUGCGGACCGUAUAAUGACCAUUUAUUGGCACAAGAAGCUUUAAAAUCUACGAUGUUGACAAAAAUCUGCAAAAUCGAUUUGUUUGAUGGGCCUCCAAUUUCGACAUACAACGUUAAUAAUCGUUAUUAUAAAAAAAAAGACAAAUAUUUCAAGACCUGCAUUCCGACUAAAGAUA